UUUGACGUUACCUACAGAAGAAGCACCGGCUAACUCCGUGCCAGCAGCCGCGGUAAUACGGAGGGUGCGAGCGUUAAUCGGAAUUACUGGGCGUAAAGCGCAUGCAGGCGGCCUGUUAAGUCAGAUGUGAAAGCCCGGGGCGUUAACCUCGGAAUUGCAUUUGAAACUGGCAGGCUAGAGUCUUGUAGAGGGGGGUAGGAAUUUCAGGUGUAGCGGUGAAAUGCGUAGAGAUCUGAAGGAAUACCAGUGGCGAAGGCGGCCCCCUGGACAAAGACUGACGCUCAGAUGCGAAAGCGUGGGGAGCCAAACAGGAUUAGAUACCCUGUAG
RNAcentral lists this ribosomal RNA (328 nucleotides) under uncultured bacterium. Its description in RNAcentral is "bacterial SSU rRNA". It matches the Rfam family "Bacterial small subunit ribosomal RNA", at positions 468 to 793 of the family's 1533-position model. The record is from RNAcentral.